Molecule: long non-coding RNA, 206 nt
Filed under: Homo sapiens (human)
Lineage: Eukaryota; Metazoa; Chordata; Mammalia; Primates; Hominidae
Description: non-protein coding lnc-GLYATL1-1:3
Source: RNAcentral
UCCUGCUGAAUAAUUGCCAGAUGCUGCUGGCCCUGUACGAAUCCCUGGCCGUGAGCAUUCCUGAGUCCCUGAAGGUCUUCAAGAAAGUUUAGGUGAGGGGAUAAGAGCAGCUGCAUUUUCAAAGUCAGUGAAGGUAGAGCAUUCAAGAGCAUUCCUCUGUAUUAUGGAAGAUAUCCUGAAGCUCAAUGCCUGCAAUAAAAGCAAGC